CGGCGAGUUAGGCUGGGGUUAGCGGUCCCCGCACCGAAAACCCGCUAUACGUCGGGCCGAAGCUCUGGAGAGGAGUCUGGAACUGUCAGUCGACUCGGUUUCGCAGUGUAGACGCCUCGUCCCGCAGGGCCGCAGGUGGCGGAAUCUCGGUCGGAGGAUCGAGACAAACCGCCUUCAUCUGUCGAACCCGGUCAGGGACGGAAGUCCGCAGCCGUAGGCAGAACUGUGAGCGCUUGCGGGGUCGCGGGGCCGAGCUGCAGCCGAGUGUCGGACUGGCAGGAAAGGGCUCCCAUCCUGGGCGUGCUCGCCG
Molecule: non-coding RNA, 310 nt
Rfam family: Archaeal signal recognition particle RNA
Source: Rfam